This 429-nucleotide ribosomal RNA is filed under the name bacterium. Its description in RNAcentral is "partial 16S ribosomal RNA". It matches the Rfam family "Bacterial small subunit ribosomal RNA", at positions 355 to 776 of the family's 1533-position model. The record is from RNAcentral.
UAGGGAAUCUUCGGCAAUGGGGGCAACCCUGACCGAGCAACGCCGCGUGAGUGAAGAAGGUUUUCGGAUCGUAAAGCUCUGUUGUAAGAGAAGAACGUGUGUGAGAGUGGAAAGUUCACACAGUGACGGUAACUUACCAGAAAGGGACGGCUAACUACGUGCCAGCAGCCGCGGUAAUACGUAGGUCCCGAGCGUUGUCCGGAUUUAUUGGGCGUAAAGCGAGCGCAGGCGGUUUAAUAAGGCUGAAGUUAAAGGCAGUGGCUUAACCAUUGUUAGCUUUGGAAACUGUUAAACUUGAGUGCAGAAGGGGAGAGUGGAAUUCCAUGUGUAGCGGUGAAAUGCGUAGAUAUAUGGAGGAACACCGGUGGCGAAAGCGGCUCUCUGGUCUGUAACUGACGCUGAGGCUCGAAAGCGUGGGGAGCAAACAGG